Molecule: ribosomal RNA, 301 nt
Filed under: uncultured bacterium
Lineage: Bacteria
Description: partial 16S ribosomal RNA
Rfam family: Archaeal small subunit ribosomal RNA
Source: RNAcentral
CAGUCGCCACGGUAAAACCAGCAGCCCAAGUGGUGGUCGCGAUUAUUGGGCCUAAAGCGCUCGUAGCCGGGCCGGUAAGUCCCUUGUGAAAUCGGACGGCCUAACCGUUCGGCGUGCAAGGGAUACUGUCGGUCUUGAGGCCGGGAGACGUCCGAGGUACUCCGGGGGUAGCGGUGAAAUGUUCUGAUCCUCGGGGGACCACCGGUGGCGAAGGCGUUCGACGAGAACGGGCCUGACGGUGAGGGGCGAAGGCUAGGGGAGCAAACGGGAUUAGAUACCCGGGUAGUCCCUGUCUCUUAUA